This 21-nucleotide microRNA is filed under the name Ornithorhynchus anatinus (platypus). RNAcentral's name for it is "oan-miR-1391-3p". Lineage: Eukaryota; Metazoa; Chordata; Mammalia; Monotremata; Ornithorhynchidae. The record is from miRBase by way of RNAcentral.
CUCCCACCCGGUAGUGGUGCU